AGUGGAUGACCUCAUGGAACUUAGUUAUUUAAAUGUACCAGCAGAUUUAUUCAUCCUGCAAUAUAGAUACAACCAAGAUAUGAUCUAUAGGAACUUUAAGUGGGUGGGACUCCGAAUUGAAGUGGUGAGGGUAGACUCGGAAAGACCGGGACAGCAAAAAUAGCAAUGCAAUACUUGGCUGCCCUUGGUGGAGGAAGCAGAAUAGAGAACGAGAUAUUAAAGACUAAUCCAAUACUAGAAGGCUUUGGUAAUGGAAAAACAGUUUCUUUCAAUUCAAUAUGGAUG
This 285-nucleotide small RNA is filed under the name Vigna angularis var. angularis. Its description in RNAcentral is "Non-protein coding transcript". The record is from RNAcentral. Lineage: Eukaryota; Viridiplantae; Streptophyta; Magnoliopsida; Fabales; Fabaceae.